RNAcentral lists this ribosomal RNA (252 nucleotides) under uncultured bacterium. RNAcentral's name for it is "partial 16S ribosomal RNA". It matches the Rfam family "Bacterial small subunit ribosomal RNA", at positions 525 to 776 of the family's 1533-position model. The record is from RNAcentral.
ACGGAGGGUCCGAGCGUUAUCCGGAAUUAUUGGGUUUAAAGGGUCCGUAGGCGGGCCGGUAAGUCAGGGGUGAAAGUCUGUAGCUCAACUAUAGAAUUGCCUUUGAUACUGCUGGUCUUGAGUUAUGGUGAAGUUGCCGGAAUAUGUAGUGUAGCGGUGAAAUGCAUAGAUAUUACAUAGAACACCGAUUGCGAAGGCAGGUGACUAACCAUAUACUGACGCUGAUGGACGAAAGCGUGGGGAGCGAACAGG